CUGCUAGAACUAUAGGUUUCUUAUUGAAAUUGUUUUUCUUAUUUUUCUAUCUUUUCUACUCUGCAUUUUUCUUUCCUUCCUUCCAUCCUUCUUUUGUUCCUUUUUCACUUAUUUUCCUCCAUCUCUUCUUUUUCAAUGUCUCUGUCUCACUUUCUCUUAUUCUUUCUUCCUCUAAAUUUGAAAACAUUGAAACAUUUUUUACAUAUCUAUUUCUCAUAUCCACUACAUUCCAUUACUGUUCUAAAUGCCAGUAAGUCAAAGAUAAAUAAGCCAUAGCAACUAUCCUUAGAAAGUAAGAGUUUCAUGAGGCAGAAAGACAAAAAUCAAACAAUUGCAAUGAUAGAUGUUAUAGAUAUUAAAAUAGAUGUAUUGCAAGGUGCUAUGAGAGCAAAGAAGAGCAAAUAGAAUGCCUUAUAAAGUGUAAAAUAUUCUUAAAAGGUCAAAGGAGAGAACAAACAGGAGUCUUAUUUUUCCUUAGAAUUCAGGGGCUAAACACUGGGCACCU
RNAcentral lists this long non-coding RNA (505 nucleotides) under Pan troglodytes (chimpanzee). RNAcentral describes it as "long non-coding RNA NONPTRT006858". Lineage: Eukaryota; Metazoa; Chordata; Mammalia; Primates; Hominidae. The record is from RNAcentral.